RNAcentral lists this ribosomal RNA (290 nucleotides) under uncultured bacterium. RNAcentral describes it as "partial 16S ribosomal RNA". It matches the Rfam family "Bacterial small subunit ribosomal RNA", at positions 332 to 620 of the family's 1533-position model. The record is from RNAcentral.
CUGGCCUACGGGGGGCAGCAGUGAGGAAUAUUGGUCAAUGGGCGGGAGCCUGAACAAGCCAAGUCGCGUGAGGGAAGACGGUCCUAUGGAUUGUAAACCUCUUUAGGCGGGGAGCAAUGCCGGGCACGUGUGCCCGGAGGGAGAGUACCCGAAGAAUCAGCAUCGGCUAACUCCGUGCCAGCAGCCGCGGUAAUACGGAGGAUGCGAGCGUUAUCCGGAUUUAUUGGGUUUAAAGGGUCCGUAGGCGGAUUUUUAAGUCAGCGGUAAAAUGUCCGGGCUCAACCCGGGCC